This 253-nucleotide ribosomal RNA is filed under the name uncultured bacterium. RNAcentral's name for it is "partial 16S ribosomal RNA". It matches the Rfam family "Bacterial small subunit ribosomal RNA", at positions 524 to 776 of the family's 1533-position model. The record is from RNAcentral.
GCCAGAGGGGGCAACCGUUGUCCGGAGUUACUGGGCGUAAAGGGCGCGGAGGCGGUCUGCGGCGGCGGCGCUGAAAGCGCCCCGCUUAACGGCGCGAGGCGUGCCGAUACGCGCAGAGUUGAGGCGAGCAGAGGGUGGUGGAAUUCCGGGUGGAGCGGUGAAAUGCGUAGAGAUCCGGAGGAACGCCAGUGGGGAAGCCGGCCACCUGGGCUCGUCCUGACGCUGCGGCGCGCCCGCGUGGGGAGGAAACCGG